AUGUCAGGAAAUGGUGGCUUAUCUUUGGGAAGCCUAAUUCUGGCUUGCCAGUUCAUAAAGAAGUACUUUUUUCUCUUGGACUUGAAAAGAGCAAAGGAGAGUAUCAAGCUUGGUUACGCCUGCAGUCCUUGUGUUUGGGAUACUUUUAUUGAAGGAUUGACAGAAAUGGCAAGUUCCAAUCCUGCAUAUAUGGAGAUGGAAGAAGGAGACUUACCAACAUGAUUAGUUAUUGAAUGAUUCAGUUCCCUUUGACAAUCCUUUGUUGAUUGCUUAUGCUGCCCGGUUGUAUGAGAAGUUUGGAGAAUCUGCCCUUCGGUCCUUAAUCAGGUUUUACCCAUCUGUUUUGCCUUCGGAUGUCAUGCAACUUUGUCAUCAUCAUCCUGCUCAGUUUUUGGCCUAUUUAGACAGUCUGGUGAAAUCGGGGCCUGAAGAUCAACGGCCAUCCUUCCUUGAGUCCCUUCUACAACCAGAGUCUUUGAGAUUGGAUUGGCUGCUUUGGGCCGUGUCCCACGAUGCUCCCCCAAGCACAAGCACGAUGGACAAUGAAGGAAACCCCAGGCCUCAUUCACACUUGUGUUCGUGGGGUUAUAGCCAGCUGAUGCUUCAUCUCAUUAAACUACCUGCAGAUUUUACAACCAAAGAGAAAAUGACUGACAUCUGUAAGUCUCAUGGUUUCUGGCCUGGAUAUCUUUCUCUUUGUUUGGAGCUGGAAAGAAGAAGAGAGGCCUUCACCAACAUUGUGUGCCUAAAUGAUAUGAGCCUGAUGGAAGGGGACAAUGGUUGGAUCCCAGAGACUGUGGAGGAAUGGAAGCUUCUGCUACAUCUCGUACAGAACAAGAGCACGAACCCCCAGAAGUCGCCAAAUGGAAACUUCAGUGAUGGGCCUCCCCCCAUCAACGUGGAGAAUGUGGCACUCCUGUUAGCUAAGGCCAUGGGCCCAGAUCGGGCCUGGUCACUGCUACAGGAAUGUGGUUUGACCCUGGAGCUGUCAGAGAGGUUUACCAGAACCUGCGAUAUCCUAAGGAUUGCUGAGAAAAGGCAGAGAGCCUUGAUACAAAGCAUGCUUGAAAAAUGUGAUCGGUUUCUCUGGUCUCAGCAGGCCUAGUGGAAGAAGAUUCAGCAAAUGUCACAAUGCUUUGAGAAAAACUGAACCAUGCUCCUGAACCUCCUGAGUGCAUUUGCUGUUGAAGGAAAGUAGCACUCAGGAUGGUUUGAGAAGUGACGGAGGUCAUGAAUGUGAUGAAUGUGAAGCACGGAGCAGGCGCCUGGCACAGAGUACAGGGAGAGCCAUCUCUUGGUGACACGUGAGACUAAAGUGCAGGGCAGUAAAGCUUGUGACGGUGCCCAGGAACACGUGUUAGCUGUUGUGUGAGAGGAUUGGAAGAUCCUUGCACCCAGAAGUGAUCAGACCCGGGUAAGCUGGUUCAUACGAACCCGGGAGAGUGGGAGCACCAAAACUGAAGGUAAGAAUGUCCUUGUAUGUGUUAAAUGUCCCUGUCCUGCCCAAGGCUCCAAACCUUGUGAUCGUCCUUGCCUCUCCCCUCCUCAACCCUCAUUUACGUUUCCCUAGCCACCGCUAGGGAAAUCCUCUCAGUUCUGUGUUGGUGGU
Molecule: RNA transcript, 1609 nt
Organism: Mirounga angustirostris (Northern elephant seal)
Lineage: Eukaryota; Metazoa; Chordata; Mammalia; Carnivora; Phocidae
Gene name: BLOC-2 complex member HPS5-like
Exons: 10
Source: RefSeq, a predicted model, not a curated record